UCCGUAGGUGGUGGGGCAAGUCGGCGGUUAAAGCCUGGGGCUUAACUCCAGAGAAGCCGUGGAAACUGCACCACUAGAGGGCAGUAGGGGUAGAGGGAAUUCCCGGUGUAGCGGUGAAAUGCGUAGAGAUCGGGAAGAACACCAGUGGCGAAAGCGCUCUACUGGACUGCAACUGACACUGAGGGACGAAAGCUAGGGGAGCGAAUG
This 207-nucleotide ribosomal RNA is filed under the name uncultured bacterium. RNAcentral describes it as "partial 16S ribosomal RNA". It matches the Rfam family "Bacterial small subunit ribosomal RNA", at positions 568 to 774 of the family's 1533-position model. The record is from RNAcentral.